CAAACUUGUCAGCAAUGGCAAGUUGAAUUGUAAGAAGUCAGCAGAGGCCAUAGUAGUUCCUUCGGAACGAAGGGC
Molecule: non-coding RNA, 75 nt
Filed under: Bacillus sp. CECT 9360
Lineage: Bacteria; Bacillati; Bacillota; Bacilli; Caryophanales; Bacillaceae
Source: RNAcentral